This 502-nucleotide ribosomal RNA is filed under the name uncultured bacterium. RNAcentral's name for it is "partial 16S ribosomal RNA". It matches the Rfam family "Bacterial small subunit ribosomal RNA", at positions 28 to 507 of the family's 1533-position model. The record is from RNAcentral.
GAUUAACGCUGGCGGCGUGCCUAACACAUGCAAGUCGAGCGGCAGCGAGUUUUACACUGAAUUCUGGAAGCUUCUAGUUGAAAAAGAAGAUUUAUUCAAGAAUUUUGUGUAAAAUGUCGGCGAGCGGCGGACGGCUGAGUAACGCGUGGGAACGUACCCCAAAGUGAGGGAUAACGCAUCGAAAGGUGUGCUAAUACCGCAUAUGGUCUUCGGAUUAAAGCCUUCGGGCGCUUUGGGAACGGCCUGCGUAAGAUUAGAUAGUUGGUGGGGUAAUGGCCUACCAAGUCGACGAUCUUUAACUGGUUUGAGAGGAUGAUCAGUCAGACUGGAACUGAGACACGGUCCAGACUCCUACGGGAGGCAGCAGUGAGGAAUCUUCCACAAUGGGCGAAAGCCUGAUGGAGCAACGCCGCGUGCAGGAUGAAGGCCUUCGGGUUGUAAACUGCUUUUAUAAGUGAGGAUUAUGACAGUAACUUAUGAAUAAGGAUCGGCUAACUACGUG